RNAcentral lists this ribosomal RNA (440 nucleotides) under uncultured bacterium. RNAcentral describes it as "partial 16S ribosomal RNA". It matches the Rfam family "Bacterial small subunit ribosomal RNA", at positions 338 to 795 of the family's 1533-position model. The record is from RNAcentral.
CCUACGGGUGGCAGCAGUGAGGAAUAUUGGGCAAUGGGGGCAACCCUGACCCAGCCAUGCCGCGUGAGUGAAGAAGGUCUUCGGAUUGUAAAGCUCUUUCGGACGUGACGAUGAUGACGGUAGCGUCUAAAGAAGCACCGGCAAACUUCGUGCCAGCAGCCGCGGUAAUACGAAGGGUGCGAGCGUUGUUCGGAAUUACUGGGCGUAAAGGGAGUGUAGGCGGAUAUGUAAGAUAGCGGUGAAAUGCCGGGGCUCAACCCCGGAACUGCCAUUAUGACUAUGUAUCUAGAGUAAUGGAGAGGAUAGCGGAAUACCCAGUGUAGAGGUGAAAUUCGUAGAUAUUGGGUAGAACACCGAUUGCGAAGGCAGCUUACUAAGCCAUAACUGACACUGAAGCACGAAAGCGUGGGGAUCAAACAGGAUUAGAUACCCCAGUAGUC